Molecule: long non-coding RNA, 667 nt
Filed under: Cricetulus griseus (Chinese hamster)
Lineage: Eukaryota; Metazoa; Chordata; Mammalia; Rodentia; Cricetidae
Description: lncRNA (ENSCGRG00000025005.1)
Source: RNAcentral
CAAGAAAAGAGAUACCUUAAUAUAGGGAGCCAUUAUAGGUUUAAAGAGAAAUCUGACACUAAGGAAGUGUCCAGAGAUCUACAAAGAUGACCCCAACUAAGAAUCUAAGCAAUAGUUGAGAGCUAUCUUAAAUGCCCUUCACCUAUAAUGAGACUGAUGACUGCCUUAUAUGACAUUCUAGAGCCUUCAUCCAGUAGCUGAUGGAAGCAGAAGCAGAGACCCACAGCUAAACACUGAGAUGAACUCCAGGAAACCAGUUGCAGAGAGGGAGGAGUGAUGAGCAUGCUGCAUUUUUUCAAUCAAGUGGUAUUUAAAGAAACUUCAUCAGUCCUUACAUGGUCCAUGCCUACAAGAAUAUUCCUUAAGCAUACUAAAGGAUGAACCAAAUAGUCUUCAGUGACAUGUCAAAACAACUAUGUAAAUAAAUAAAAAGUAUUACAUUGAAUAAAAGAUGAAAGAUGAGAAGUAUCUGAUAAUUCAAAAGGGGAGCGAUUACUUGAAGGCUUCAAGGUAGAUGUAGAGGACUAAAUUGAAUUUUACAGCAUGAAUCAAGUUCAGAUAAAUGUUUAAUGGAUGAGAAAGGACUUCCAGGCAUAAGGCAAUUAUGAGUGGGAGGACACAGACGGGAAAGAGAUUGAUGAACAAGAAACUGAGGCCCAGUGGCAAG